This 614-nucleotide ribosomal RNA is filed under the name Escherichia coli. RNAcentral describes it as "partial 23S ribosomal RNA". It matches the Rfam family "Bacterial large subunit ribosomal RNA", at positions 1291 to 1890 of the family's 2925-position model. The record is from RNAcentral. Lineage: Bacteria; Pseudomonadati; Pseudomonadota; Gammaproteobacteria; Enterobacterales; Enterobacteriaceae.
CGAAUGCUGACAUAAGUAACGAUAAAGCGGGUGAAAAGCCCGCUCGCCGGAAGACCAAGGGUUCCUGUCCAACGUUAAUCGGGGCAGGGUGAGUCGACCCCUAAGGCGAGGCCGAAAGGCGUAGUCGAUGGGAAACAGGUUAAUAUUCCUGUACUUGGUGUUACUGCGAAGGGGGGACGGAGAAGGCUAUGUUGGCCGGGCGACGGUUGUCCCGGUUUAAGCGUGUAGGCUGGUUUUCCAGGCAAAUCCGGAAAAUCAAGGCUGAGGCGUGAUGACGAGGCACUACGGUGCUGAAGCAACAAAUGCCCUGCUUCCAGGAAAAGCCUCUAAGCAUCAGGUAACAUCAAAUCGUACCCCAAACCGACACAGGUGGUCAGGUAGAGAAUACCAAGGCGCUUGAGAGAACUCGGGUGAAGGAACUAGGCAAAAUGGUGCCGUAACUUCGGGAGAAGGCACGCUGAUAUGUAGGUGAAGUCCCUUGCGGAUGGAGCUGAAAUCAGUCGAAGAUACCAGCUGGCUGCAACUGUUUAUUAAAAACACAGCACUGUGCAAACACGAAAGUGGACGUAUACGGUGUGACGCCUGCCCGGUGCCGGAAGGUUAAUUGAUGGGGU